This 400-nucleotide ribosomal RNA is filed under the name uncultured bacterium. RNAcentral's name for it is "bacterial SSU rRNA". It matches the Rfam family "Bacterial small subunit ribosomal RNA", at positions 356 to 773 of the family's 1533-position model. The record is from RNAcentral.
CGGGAAUAUUGGGCAAUGGGGGAAACCCUGACCCAGCAACGCCGCGUGAGUGAUGAAGGUCUUCGGAUUGUAAAGCUCUGUCUUCUGGGACGAUAAUGACGGUACCAGAGGAGGAAGCCACGGCUAACUACGUGCCAGCAGCCGCGGUAAUACGUAGGUGGCAAGCGUUGUCCGGAUUUACUGGGCGUAAAGGAUGUGUAGGCGGAUAUUUAAGUGAGAUGUGAAAUCCCCGGGCUUAACUUGGGGGCUGCAUUUCAAACUGGAUGUCUAGAGUGCAGGAGAGGAAAGCAGAAUUCCUAGUGUAGCGGUGAAAUGCGUAGAGAUUAGGAAGAAUACCAGUGGCGAAGGCGGCUUUCUGGACUGUAACUGACGCUGAGGCAUGAAAGCGUGGGGAGCAAAC